GUGGGGAAUAUUGGGCAAUGGGCGAAAGCCUGACCCAGCAACGCCGCGUGAAGGAAGAAGGUUUUCGGAUCGUAAACUUCUAUCCUUGGUGAAGAUAAUGACGGUAGCCAAGAAGGAAGCCCCGGCUAACUACGUGCCAGCAGCCGCGGUAAUACGUAGGGGGCAAGCGUUGUCCGGAAUGAUUGGGCGUAAAGGGCGCGUAGGCGGCCUGGUAAGUCUGGAGUGAAAGUCCUGCUUUUAAGGUGGGAAUUGCUUUGGAUACUGUCGGGCUUGAGUGCAGGAGAGGUAAGUGGAAUUCCCGGUGUAGCGGUGAAAUGCGUAGAGAUCGGGAGGAACACCAGUGGCGAAGGCGACUUACUGGACUGUAACUGACGCUGAGGCGCGAAAGUGUGGGGAGCAAACAGGAUUAGAAACCCGUGUAUCC
RNAcentral lists this ribosomal RNA (424 nucleotides) under uncultured bacterium. Its description in RNAcentral is "partial 16S ribosomal RNA". It matches the Rfam family "Bacterial small subunit ribosomal RNA", at positions 354 to 795 of the family's 1533-position model. The record is from RNAcentral.